This 253-nucleotide ribosomal RNA is filed under the name uncultured bacterium. RNAcentral's name for it is "partial 16S ribosomal RNA". It matches the Rfam family "Bacterial small subunit ribosomal RNA", at positions 524 to 776 of the family's 1533-position model. The record is from RNAcentral.
UACGUAGGGUGCGAGCGUUAAUCGGAAUUACUGGGCGUAAAGCGUGCGCAGGCGGUUUUGUAAGCCAGAUGUGAAAGCCCCGGGCUUAACCUGGGAAUGGCAUUUGGGACUGCAAGGCUUGAGUGCGGCAGAGGAGACUGGAAUUCCUGGUGUAGCGGUGGAAUGCGCAGAUAUCAGGAGGAACACCAAUAGCGAAGGCAGCUCGCUGGGACGGUACUGACGCUAAGACGCGAAAGCGUGGGGAGCGAACAGG